This 421-nucleotide non-coding RNA is filed under the name Pan paniscus (pygmy chimpanzee). RNAcentral's name for it is "Bacterial large subunit ribosomal RNA". It matches the Rfam family "Bacterial large subunit ribosomal RNA", at positions 2049 to 2647 of the family's 2925-position model. The record is from Rfam by way of RNAcentral. Lineage: Eukaryota; Metazoa; Chordata; Mammalia; Primates; Hominidae. RNAcentral also lists the same sequence under 1 other name.
AUCCAUGAAGAGGCGGAUAUAAACAAAUAAGAUGAGAAGAUCCUAUGGAGCUUUAAUUCAUUAAUGCAAAUAAAAACUCAUACAAGCCUACAGGCCCUAGCCUCCUAGCCCUGCAUUAAAAAUUUUGGUUGGGGUGAACUUGGAGCAUAAUUCAACCUCCGAACAACCUAAACUAAGAACUCACUAGUCUAAGCGAGUUAAUACACAUGGACUCAAUAAUUUGAUCAACGGAAUAAGUUACCCUAGGGAUAACAACACAAUCCUAUUCUAGGUCCAUAUCGACAAUAAGGUUUACAACCUCAAUGUUGGAUCAGGACAUCCUAAUGGUGUAGCCGCUAAUAAGGGUUUGUUUGUUCAAUGAUCAAAGUCCUACAUGAUCUGAGUUCAGACCGGAGUAAUCCAGGUCAGUUUCUAUCUAUUU